Molecule: ribosomal RNA, 253 nt
Filed under: uncultured bacterium
Lineage: Bacteria
Description: partial 16S ribosomal RNA
Rfam family: Bacterial small subunit ribosomal RNA
Source: RNAcentral
UACAGAGGUGGCAAGCGUUGUUCGGAAUCACUGGGCGUAAAGCGCACGUAGGCGGCUUUCUAAGUCAGGGGUGAAGUCCCGGAGCUCAACUCCGGAACUGCCUUUGAUACUGGAGAGCUUGAGUUCGGGAGAGGUGAGUGGAACUGCGAGUGUAGAGGUGAAAUUCGUAGAUAUUCGCAAGAACACCAGUGGCGAAGGCGGCUCACUGGUCCGGUUCUGACGCUGAGGCGCGAAAGCGUGGGGAGCAAACAGG